AGCGGGAAGUAGUUUACUACUUUGCCGGCGAGCGGCGGACGGGUGAGUAAUGUCUGGGAAACUGCCUGAUGGAGGGGGAUAACUACUGGAAACGGUAGCUAAUACCGCAUAACGUCUUCGGACCAAAGUGGGGGACCUUCGGGCCUCACGCCAUCGGAUGUGCCCAGAUGGGAUUAGCUAGUAGGUGGGGUAAUGGCUCACCUAGGCGACGAUCCCUAGCUGGUCUGAGAGGAUGACCAGCCACACUGGAACUGAGACACGGUCCAGACUCCUACGGGAGGCAGCAGUGGGGAAUAUUGCACAAUGGGCGCAAGCCUGAUGCAGCCAUGCCGCGUGUGUGAAGAAGGCCUUCGGGUUGUAAAGCACUUUCAGCGAGGAGGAAGGCCAAUAACUUAAUACGUUGUUGGAUUGACGUUACUCGCAGAAGAAGCACCGGCUAACUCCGUGCCAGCAGCCGCGGUAAUACGGAGGGUGCAAGCGUUAAUCGGAAUUACUGGGCGUAAAGCGCACGCAGGCGGUUUGUUAAGUCAGAUGUGAAAUCCCCGCGCUUAACGUGGGAACUGCAUUUGAAACUGGCAAGCUAGAGUCUUGUAGAGGGGGGUAGAAUUCCAGGUGUAGCGGUGAAAUGCGUAGAGAUCUGGAGGAAUACCGGUGGCGAAGGCGGCCCCCUGGACAAAGACUGACGCUCAGGUGCGAAAGCGUGGAGAGCAAACA
RNAcentral lists this ribosomal RNA (714 nucleotides) under uncultured bacterium. RNAcentral's name for it is "bacterial SSU rRNA". It matches the Rfam family "Bacterial small subunit ribosomal RNA", at positions 65 to 774 of the family's 1533-position model. The record is from RNAcentral.